GCAGUGUAGUUCAGUUGGUUAGAGCAGGAUCUUCAUACGGUCAAGAUCGUGGGUUCGAAAGUCUCCGCUUCGCUCCG
This 77-nucleotide transfer RNA is filed under the name Eubacterium ruminantium. RNAcentral's name for it is "tRNA_Pseudo_CAT". Lineage: Bacteria; Bacillati; Bacillota; Clostridia; Eubacteriales; Eubacteriaceae. The record is from RNAcentral.